RNAcentral lists this transfer RNA (82 nucleotides) under compost metagenome. Its description in RNAcentral is "tRNA-Gly". The record is from RNAcentral.
CAAAUGUGGAGGGUGAGUUUCGGCCGGUUCCCAUCCGGCCAUCUUCAGGCGGGCAGUUCAAUUGCCAUUAUUGGCUGUUUGC